This 254-nucleotide ribosomal RNA is filed under the name uncultured bacterium. RNAcentral describes it as "partial 16S ribosomal RNA". It matches the Rfam family "Bacterial small subunit ribosomal RNA", at positions 524 to 776 of the family's 1533-position model. The record is from RNAcentral.
GACGAACCGUGCGAACGUUAUUCGGAAUCAUUGGGCUUAAAGGGCGCGUAGGCGGCGGCGUAAGUUGGAAGUGAAAUCCCAUCGGCUCAACCGUGGAAUUGCUCCCAAUACUGCGUCGCUCGAGGGAGAUAGGGGUCUGCGGAACUACCGGUGGAGCGGUGAAAUGUGUUGAUAUCGGUGGGAACGCCAGUGGCGAAAGCGGCAGACUUGACCCUUCCUGACGCUGAGGCGCGAAAGCUAGGGGAGCAAACGGG